CCUACGGGAGGCUGCAGUGGGGAAUAUUGCACAAUGGGGGAAACCCUGCUGCAGCGACGCCGCGUGAGUGAAGAAGUAUUUCGGUACGUAAAGCUCUAUCAGCAGGGAAGAAAAUGACGGUACCUGACUAAGAAGCCCCGGCUAACUACGUGCCAGCAGCCGCGGUAAUACGUAGGGGGCAAGCGUUAUCCGGAUUGACUGGGUGUAAAGGGAGCGUAGACGGCAGCACAAGUCUGGAGGGAAAUCCCAUGGCUUAACCAUGGAACUGCUUUGGAAACUGUGCAGCUAGAGUGCAGGAGAGGUAAGCGGAAUUCCUAGUGUAGCGGUGAAAUGCGUAGAUAUUAGGAGGAACACCAGUGGCGAAGGCGGCUUACUGGACUGUAACUGACGUUGAGGCUCGAAAGCGUGGGGAGCAAACAGGAUUAGAUACCCCAGUAGUC
RNAcentral lists this ribosomal RNA (440 nucleotides) under uncultured bacterium. Its description in RNAcentral is "partial 16S ribosomal RNA". It matches the Rfam family "Bacterial small subunit ribosomal RNA", at positions 338 to 795 of the family's 1533-position model. The record is from RNAcentral.